RNAcentral lists this transfer RNA (67 nucleotides) under Liriomyza trifolii (celery leafminer). Its description in RNAcentral is "tRNA-Pro". Lineage: Eukaryota; Metazoa; Arthropoda; Insecta; Diptera; Agromyzidae. The record is from RNAcentral.
CAAGAAAUAGUUUAAUUAAAAUAUUAAUUUUGGAGAUUAAUGAUAAAGGUAUUUUCUUUUUUCUUGA